GACGAACGCUGGCGGCGUGCUUAACACAUGCAAGUCGAACGGAAAGGCCCUGCUUUUGUGGGGUGCUCGGGUGGCGAACGGGUGAGUAACACGUGAGUAACCUGCCCUUGACUUUGGGAUAACUUCAGGAAACUGGGGCUAAUACCGGAUAGGAGCUCCUGCUGCAUGGUGGGGGUUGGAAAGUUUCGGCGGUUGGGGAUGGACUCGCGGCUUAUCAGCUUGUGGGUGGGGUAGUGGCUUACCAAGGCUUUGACGGGUAGCCGGCCUGAGAGGGUGGCCGGCCACAUUGGGACUGAGAUACGGCCCAGACUCCUACGGGAGGCAGCAGUGGGGAAUAUUGCACAAUGGGCGGAAGCCUGAUGCAGCAACGCCGCGUGCGGGAUGACGGCCUUCGGGUUGUAAACCGCUUUCGCCUGUGACGAAGCGUGAGUGACGGUAAUGGGUAAAGAAGCACCGGCUAACUACGUG
This 468-nucleotide ribosomal RNA is filed under the name uncultured bacterium. RNAcentral's name for it is "partial 16S ribosomal RNA". It matches the Rfam family "Bacterial small subunit ribosomal RNA", at positions 28 to 507 of the family's 1533-position model. The record is from RNAcentral.